CGCCCCGCAAGGGGAGCGGCAGACGGGAGAGUAACACGUGGGAACGUGCCCUUUGGUUCGGAAUAACCCAGGGAAACUUGGACUAAUACCGAAUAAGCCCUAACGGGGAAAGAUUUAUCGCCGAAGGAGCGGCCCGCGUCGGAUUAGCUUGUUGGUGAGGUAAUGGCUCACCAAGGCGACGAUCCGUAGCUGGUCUAAGAGGAUGAUCAGCCUCACUGGGACUGAGACACGGCCCAGACUCCUACGGGAGGCAGCAGUGGGGAAUAUUGGACAAUGGGGGCAACCCUGAUCCAGCCAUGCCGCGUGAGUGAUGAAGGCCCUAGGGUUGUAAAGCUCUUUCAGUGGGGAAGAUAAUGACGGUACCCACAGAAGAAGCCCCGGCUAACUUCGUGCCAGCAGCCGCGGUAAUACGAAGGGGGCUAGCGUUGCUCGGAAUUACUGGGCGUAAAGCGCACGUAGGCGGACUUUUAAGUCGGGGGUGAAAUCCCGGAGCUCAACUCCGGAACUGCCUUCGAAACUGGAAGUCUUGAGUUCGGGAGAGGUGAGUGGAACUGCGAGUGUAGAGGUGAAAUUCGUAGAUAUUCGCAAGAACACCAGUG
RNAcentral lists this ribosomal RNA (599 nucleotides) under Pseudolabrys taiwanensis. Its description in RNAcentral is "bacterial SSU rRNA". It matches the Rfam family "Bacterial small subunit ribosomal RNA", at positions 67 to 714 of the family's 1533-position model. Lineage: Bacteria; Pseudomonadati; Pseudomonadota; Alphaproteobacteria; Hyphomicrobiales; Xanthobacteraceae. The record is from RNAcentral.